This 73-nucleotide transfer RNA is filed under the name Anoxynatronum buryatiense. RNAcentral describes it as "alkaliphilic bacterium Su22 tRNA". It matches the Rfam family "tRNA". From Rfam's summary of the family: Transfer RNA (tRNA) molecules are approximately 80 nucleotides in length. Their secondary structure includes four short double-helical elements and three loops (D, anti-codon, and T loops). The record is from Rfam by way of RNAcentral. Lineage: Bacteria; Bacillati; Bacillota; Clostridia; Eubacteriales; Clostridiaceae.
GCUAGUAUGGCUCAGAUGGUAGAGCAGCGCAUUCGUAAUGCGCAGGUCGCCGGUUCGAAUCCGGCUACUAGCU